UACGAAGGGGGCUAGCGUUGUUCGGAUUUACUGGGCGUAAAGCGCGUGUAGGCGGGGCGUUAAGUUGGGGGUGAAAUCCCGAGGCUCAACCUCGGAACUGCCUUCAAAACUGGCGACCUGGACUCAAGUAGAGGCAAGUGGAAUUGCGAGUGUAGAGGUGAAAUUCGUAGAUAUUGGGAGGAACACCAGUGGCGAAGGCGGCUCGCUGGACCGGUUCUGACGCUGAGGCGCGAAAGCGUGGGGAGCAAACGGG
Molecule: ribosomal RNA, 253 nt
Filed under: uncultured bacterium
Lineage: Bacteria
Description: partial 16S ribosomal RNA
Rfam family: Bacterial small subunit ribosomal RNA
Source: RNAcentral